RNAcentral lists this ribosomal RNA (253 nucleotides) under uncultured prokaryote. Its description in RNAcentral is "partial 16S ribosomal RNA". It matches the Rfam family "Bacterial small subunit ribosomal RNA", at positions 525 to 777 of the family's 1533-position model. The record is from RNAcentral.
ACAGAGGCCUCGAGCGUUGUUCGGAAUUACUGGGCGUAAAGGGAAUGUAGGUGGUGGCGUAAGUCAGAUGUGAAAGCCCUGGGCUUAACCUGGGAAGUGCAUUUGAUACUGCGUCGCUAGAGUGCGUGAGAGGAAAGUGGAAUUUCCAGUGUAGGGGUGAAAUCCGUAGAUAUUGGAAGGAAUACCGAUGGCGAAGGCGGCAUCCUGGACCGAUACUGACGCUGAGGAGCGAAAGCCAGGGGAGCAAACGGGA